CAGUCACUUCACGGGAUUCCACCAAGCAGCUGUGACCUGAAAGUUGGGUCUCUGCGCUUUUAAGCUCUCCUUUGCACCAGGGUUGCCUCCACCCAUCAUUUCCAGGUCUACUUCAUUUAGUACUCUUGUUAAAUACAUCAUGUGUUUCUUGUUUAACCCAUAAAUAGGAAACAAAGUUCCUAAAAACUUUAAAAACAUCCAUUUCCAGGCCUCCACUCUUGAGGGCAAUUUUACUAGCAGUCUUGCUAUUCAAGCAAAUAGACAUGACUCAUUAAGUGUUCUUUUUUUUUUUUUAUUUCACACAAAGAGAUCUACAUGAAACAUCUCAGUUUCCAUUUUCUUCCCAGUAUCCAGAAAAAUGGCACCAACUUUUUGAGUUCCAGGUCCCCCCUGCUCAGCUGCAUUACCAAGCACAAAAUCUAUUCCUGUGUGUCUGUCUGCUCGGCAAACUUUUCUUUACUUAGCCCUGUAUUUACACAUUUCUUGAUCUUUUUGUUUUCUUCCAGGGGCUUUCCAGUCCUUAAAACUCCAGGUUUUCAUCCACAGACAAGCCACAUGUUUGGCACUCCCAGGCUGAUUUCAAGAUGGACAGACCAAUGGCCAUUAAGAACAUACCUUUCUUCAUCCUAGUGCCUGAUUCAGCUUCUUUUAGAUAUCUGGGAAGAGGGAGAGUGUUUCAUCUGAAAUGCUUAGAGAAAUGUGAUCUGGAAUAUUGCAGUUUUCUGGUUCUCUUGCCUUACAGAAACCCAACUGAAGAAAAGACAUGACUAUAUCAUUCCUGAACUUCAAUAAAGGUUUGAUUCUAUUUUGCUUCUUACA
Molecule: long non-coding RNA, 819 nt
Filed under: Anas platyrhynchos platyrhynchos (common mallard)
Lineage: Eukaryota; Metazoa; Chordata; Aves; Anseriformes; Anatidae
Description: lncRNA (ENSAPLG00000018601.1)
Source: RNAcentral